RNAcentral lists this ribosomal RNA (253 nucleotides) under uncultured bacterium. RNAcentral's name for it is "partial 16S ribosomal RNA". It matches the Rfam family "Bacterial small subunit ribosomal RNA", at positions 524 to 776 of the family's 1533-position model. The record is from RNAcentral.
UACGUAGGGUGCAAGCGUUAAUCGGAAUUACUGGGCGUAAAGCGUGCGCAGGCGGUUUUGUAAGACUGUCGUGAAAUCCCCGGGCUCAACCUGGGAAUGGCGAUGGAGACUGCAAGGCUAGAGUUUGGCAGAGGGGGGUAGAAUUCCACGUGUAGCAGUGAAAUGCGUAGAUAUGUGGAGGAACACCGAUGGCGAAGGCAGCCCCCUGGGUCAAAACUGACGCUCAUGCACGAAAGCGUGGGGAGCAAACAGG